UACGUAGGUGGCGAGCGUUAUCCGGAAUGAUUGGGCGUAAAGGGUGUGCAGCCGGGACUGCAAGUCAGAUGUGAAAUCCGCGGGCUUAACCCGCGAACUGCAUUUGAAACUGCGGAUCUUGAGUACCGGAGAGGUUAUCGGAAUUCCUUGUGUAGCGGUGAAAUGCGUAGAUAUAAGGAAGAACACCAGUGGCGAAGGCGGAUAACUGGACGGCAACUGACGGUGAGGCACGAAAGCGUGGGGAGCAAACAGG
This 253-nucleotide ribosomal RNA is filed under the name uncultured Oscillospira sp. RNAcentral's name for it is "partial 16S ribosomal RNA". It matches the Rfam family "Bacterial small subunit ribosomal RNA", at positions 524 to 776 of the family's 1533-position model. Lineage: Bacteria; Bacillati; Bacillota; Clostridia; Eubacteriales; Oscillospiraceae. The record is from RNAcentral.